UGCCAGGUUAUGAAUACGGAGAAGCCAAAAUGAGGAGGAACUCAGGCCUGCCAACAGCUACAUGAGUGAGCCUGGAAGCAGAUCCUCCAGCCUCAGCAGAGCUCUGAGAUAAACUGCCAUCUCACAAGAGACCUUGAACCAGAGAUACUGACUGAGUGCCCGCGACGUGCCUGGCCCUGCAGCACACCUGGGUACCUGCUGGUGAGGGACGCAGCCCCUGCCUGUGGACCCGCCUCGGCCUCGCCGCUCACCGCCUUCAGUUCCCGGCGCCCGGGCGUCUCCUGGCAGCGGCUCACCUGGCUCCUUGGCGGGGGCGGGAGUGCGGCGCUGGGGUCCCACACGGCUCCCGCCUAGCUAGCGGCGUUGAGGACGCGGACACCGGCGGUUCCCGAACCGUUGCGGCCGAUCCCGCCGGCGUUCCGGGUGGGCAGGAGAUGAGAGUGGGGGAGGGGACGAGGAAGGAGAGCAUGAACAGCUGGGCUGGGGAGCCAGGAAAGGGGUAUCUGGGCCGCCCUCCUCAUACCUGAGCCAGUACUUGGUAAACCUCACUACCUGUACGCCAACGCUCCUACUCUCUCCGAGGUUUUACUAUUCCUGAUCCAGGGCCUAUCUGAUGCCCAGCCUCGUGCUCUAAACAUACAGUAACGCACAAGUGUACUGCACAGACGGUAAUUCACUAACAUCUCCCGAAGACUUAAGCCUUCCUCAGGUCAGAAGAGGUAAAGGGAAAUAGAGGCUAGGAGGGUCACCCAGGUCUCCAAGCAUAGGCCCUCUGCCCCACAAGCCUGGCUCCCCACACUGGAUGACAACCUCCUGCCCAGAUCGCGGCUCUGCACGCAGACUUGCCCUCUGCACUCACUCCCUUUACCCUCCUGGCACCCUAUCCCUGUCCCCAUCGCUGUCUCUUACUCCACCUUGUAUUCCUGCUUGGCCCGGUUACAGUUUUAUACUUGUUUGUUUGAUGAUUGUGUUAGUGUCUACCUUCUUAUUCACUUUAUGUAUUCCUUUUUGUAAAUUGUCUUACCCCCAUGAGGGCCGGGAUUUUUAUCCCUUUCAAUAACUGUAUCAGUGCCCACAACAGUGUGGUGGACAUAGGAAGUGUUCAACAAAUUUGUGUUGAAUGAUUGCCCUCCCAUUGAUUGUAAGCCCCACACAGGCAGCAACUGUAGUUUUAAAUUACUUUUUAACUACAAGUGCUUGGCACCCGGUGGCAUUUAAUACACAUUUGUUGAAUGAGUAUACAAACAUACUGCUUACUUUA
Cebus imitator (Panamanian white-faced capuchin) is the source of this 1261-nucleotide long non-coding RNA. RefSeq lists it as uncharacterized. The transcript is spliced from 2 exons. Lineage: Eukaryota; Metazoa; Chordata; Mammalia; Primates; Cebidae. The record is from RefSeq and is a predicted model, not a curated record.